This 506-nucleotide ribosomal RNA is filed under the name Symbiodinium sp. ex Porites sp. RNAcentral's name for it is "partial 23S ribosomal RNA". The record is from RNAcentral. Lineage: Eukaryota; Dinophyceae; Suessiales; Symbiodiniaceae.
ACACACAUCAUGGUAAAAUAUUCAUCAGUACGAAUAAUAUGCUGACUAAAGUUUAUUAACACUAAAGGACAAAAAGACCCUCUGAAGCUUUAUAGGGAUAAAACUUGGGUAACAUUCUCAAUACAAAUAUUCUUAUUGCAUGCCAGCUAAAGUAGUAAAUUAUUGGUGGGAGUGCUCAUCCCGUAAAUUGGUUCGUGAGCUGGGUUCAAUACGAUGGCCUGUGUGAAAUUGUUNNNNNNNNNNNNNNNAACUUUUGACCAACUAAUAAGUGCAAAGAUACAUGUUUCGCUUAAUGGCCCAACAAGUCCUUCCCAGUACUUAAAUGCUAUCUUAAUGAGCUUUAAAUUAAUUUACCCGAGUUAAGCUACUCUACGGAUAACAGGCUUAAUUUCCGCAAUAUUAAAGGUCACAUUAUCACGAAAAAUGUACCUCGAUGUCGGCUUAUCAUCACUAAAAUAGGUAGCUUAAUUAUUGGUGGGAGUGCUCAUCCCGUAAAUUGGUUCGUG